Long non-coding RNA from Bradysia coprophila, 132 nucleotides. Lineage: Eukaryota; Metazoa; Arthropoda; Insecta; Diptera; Sciaridae. The record is from RefSeq and is a predicted model, not a curated record.
AAUAUAUUUUUUGUUGUUGGAAUUGUCAUAUAAAGUUUCUCAAACCUAGUUGGCGCCACAGGAAAAUUUGGAUUCCGCCGCCUUCGUGAUCAACUCGAAAGUGUCUUAACCUGUUUUUUCAGUACCUUGGAC